RNAcentral lists this ribosomal RNA (253 nucleotides) under uncultured bacterium. RNAcentral's name for it is "partial 16S ribosomal RNA". It matches the Rfam family "Bacterial small subunit ribosomal RNA", at positions 524 to 776 of the family's 1533-position model. The record is from RNAcentral.
UACGUAGGGUGCAAGCGUUAAUCGGAAUUACUGGGCGUAAAGCGUGCGCAGGCGGUUUUGUAAGUCUGAUGUGAAAUCCCCGGGCUCAACCUGGGAAUUGCAUUGGAGACUGCAAGGCUAGAAUCUGGCAGAGGGGGGUAGUAUUCCACGUGUAGCAGUGAAAUGCGUAGAGAUGUGGAGGAACACCGAUGGCGAAGGCAGCCCCCUGGGUCAAGAUUGACGCUCAUGCACGAAAGCGUGGGGAGCAAACAGG